UUAUGUGUAUUUGCACCGAUCAGGACUUGAUGGUUGGGAACCAGAGAGUGUGAAGAUUAUCAGUCCAAAUUCGAGCCCUGUCACAUAUGACUUCAACACCUCCGCUCCCAAUGAGGAUUGGUACGGAGUCAAUUUGUGCCAGAUACAUCCUCCUCCUUCUCCAUUUGAACCUUCGCCUCCUUUUCCAAUUAAACCUCCGCCUUCUCCUCCAUCUUCUUCUCAUCAGCAUCGCGUUCCCGGAUUGUUCGGGCUCGUAAUGAUUCUGGGAUCCAUCCUGAGUGCUCUGUUGUAAGCGCCCUUGAUGGUUUGUUUGGUUUUAUGUAUGUGAUUCUGGGAUAGUCCUAAGUGUUUCUGUUAUGUGCUUGCAACUACUAUCUGCCGUUAUUUUGUCUGCGGCACGAUUGGUGCAAUAAUAUGUCAUGUUGUUAUUAGUUGUAAUAGGAUAUUUAUCCAUGUCUGCCGGAUAUUUUGUAAGCUUUAUAAUAGUUGUGAACCGUGCUUUUGCAGCUAUUAAUUAACUAAUGUUGUUUUGUUAUUAACUACUCUUUGCAUAGCCCCUUCAAGAUGGGGGUUUUAUUUCAUGAUCAAGAUUUUCCCUUGAUUUGAUUAUAUUUUGGGAUAAAAUUAUGUUGCAACUAUGGUAUGCUACUGCAGUUGUUUUCAGUCGUUAGAUGUACAGUUAUAUAGUUAUAUUAGUUGGAUCUAAUGAUUGAAAACAAUUGUAGUAUCAUAUUAUAGUUGUAACAUAGUUGGACCCCAAUUGCAUGAUUGAUAGUUUAUAAAAAAAAAAAAUUGAAUCUUCUUCAUUCACUAUCACUAAAAGACACAUUGAAAGAAGAUUUUAAAAAAUUCAUAAGAAAUCAGAUCAAGAAAUGAUCAUUUUCUUUCGUUUCAUGGCUUUGCCUUAAACGCAAUUGAGAGUGGCCUUGGGCUCUUGGACAUUUUAUUUAAGAAAGGUGCUGGAAUUAAUGGUGUUACUGGAGGCGUCGCUAAAAGCAAUCGGCUAUAAUUUACUUGGUUAUUGUUUCGCAGCAAAGCUCGUGUUUCUUGAUGUGUCGUCUGUGUGGCCGUUGAUUUCAAUUCUCGAUUACGUGUCAUCUCUGUUCAGUUGAGUGAGCUUUUUCUUUUUUGGUCCCCAUUGCCUACAGCCACGAAUUUGAAAAACGUAAGACAUGUCGUCAUGUAGACAAAUUUGAACGGUGACGGUGUAGUAGUGGAGCCGAUUGAGACACGAUAUCGACUGAUUAAACUUACUUUAUAUGGGAAUCUUGUGAAAUUUUUAAUUAUGAUUUUUUAGGGUGACGACAACUUAAUUCAUUUUUCUAUAGAUGCAUGAGUUGGUUUUGAAUCUUAGUGCUUUUGAUUUUUACAUAAAAUUAUAUUAUCUCAACUAAAUAGUCUAUACAGAUUACAAAUGUUAUAAGAAUAUACUUUUAAGUGUUGUGAGAUGUUUUCAUUACUAAUUUACUAGUACUAACUUUUUUUUUUCUAAAAGAUAAAUUAAUUAGCGUCCAAAAUAUUAUUGUAAGAAUAUUAUUAUAAAAAUUAAGGAAAAGUAAUUUUUUAAAAGAUAAAUUAAUUAAUGUUAAGAAUAUUAUUAUAAAGAUAUUAAUAUGAAAAAAAUAACAUAAUUAAUUGUAAAGACAUUUUAAAGUGUUGUUAAAAAUAUAAGUGCUUUGGGGUAUAAAAAAUAGUUACUUGAGUUCGAGGAGAAAGUUAUUUGGUCACAUGUGCAAGCGCGACCAACGUUCUGUUAGGAGAAUAGAAUCAGGUCGCAUGGCUUUGGUUAAUAUCUCAUAUUGUUGAGCUUCAUUUGGAAGCUCAUCCGUAACGUAUAUGCACGCUCUGCUUUAAUGUUUAAAGCACAAUCAGGCAUUAUAAUGGUUGCUCAACAACUAGAUAAAUUGAUAUAUUAACUCUUAGAUUCAAGUGGCAUACUCAAUUUGGUAAUGACCACGCAGUAAAGAACGAACAAUAACGCGCGACAUGCAUAGUUCUCUAUAAGAACUGGGGGAGAUCCAGAAAAUGGAUUUUUUUUGGGGUUUUGAUUAAAAAAAUAGAAUUCUAGAAAAAAUACAAAAUACUUAAAAUCACAAGUGUGACAUUAUUAUUUUCCUUACAAAGAAAAACCUGAUUGCUGACUUGAGCGUUGGAAGGUUUUUACUAGAAAAAAUACGGCGUCCCUGACAGUUUUCUGUUGUUGCAGAUCAAAGGAAAUGUCAGUACAAUUCAAAUUCCACUACAGUAUCAAGCGACAAAUGCCCCAUCAAAAUAAAUUAAAGUGUUGGCGAGACAAUUUGGUCGCCGACCGAAUUACGGCAUCAACAAUAAAAAUUAAAUAAGAACUUAAGUUAAAAUAUAGAAAUUAAAUAAAGAUUUAUCCUAAGUUUAGAUAUCAAAUUUACUACGGAUCUUUGAUGGAGAAAGUUACCAAAAGAAACAAAAAGUCCAAAUUUUUGUCUUCAAAAGAUAGUGCACCUAGAUUGACCCUUAUAUACUAGAAGAAAGAGAUGGGAUUGAUUAUCCUUCACACAAGCUUCAAGAUAAUUCUUUUUAACCAAAAAAAAAAAAUUGUAAAAGGGAUUAAGAUGCGUAAAAUACAUUUUUUUCCCCCAAAAUUGCGUAAAAUACUUGAUGAAAACAUGCAAGGCAGUGGAGUCAAACUCAAUCGAGACACUGAGUCAGAUAAUUUGAUAGUAUGGUUCACCAUUGUCGACGUCUGCAUGUUUUGUCAAAGAAUGACUCCCAACCGUUUUCCAACAGAAAAACGGGUGUAGUUGGCACUAUUGGUUAUUAAUUAUUUAUUAUUUUACAUUUUCUAAUUGAUUAUUUUAUCAGCUUCCACGUGUGGGUAAGUAUAGUAGAAUAUCAUUGAGGCUCUUUGAAAAAAAAAAAGAAAGUAUAUGCACCUAAUUUCGCUUGAGUAUCUAAUUUAACCAACCAAUUGUGGACCAUGAUAGCCUAGUCUUCUUGAUGUUACAGCCAUUAAAUUGCCAAUCGGUGCAAGCGGUUUUUUUUUUUUAAUAGUAAAUGAUUUCAUUUCCAGUAAAACACAAUAAUUAUAAUAAAAUUUCGAUCUUUAUUGGGACCUCUUCGAUCCACACUCGAGGUGUUGAAAUGAAAAAAGUUAUUUUUUUUCUAAAGCAUGGGCCACUAAGUUAUAAGACCUAAAAGUAUAAGCUAUCUGAUAUUGAUUAUUUUGUUCUAUCAUAACUCUAAUAUCAUAAAGUAUCCAAUCUAACUCUUCUCUACUAGAAGUACCAUUGAGAAUAAAGUUGACAACAUUCUUGGAAUCAUACCCUAUAAGAAGAGGAGAAAGAGCAACAUCCACUGCCAACUUUAUUCCUUCUAAAAUCACUGAAGCUUCCGUAAUUUCUACAUCUCCUAAGCAAGGUUUCUUUGAUGUUGCAGCAGCCAUUACGGCUCCUUGAUAAUCUCUGAGAAUCGGUGCAAGCGGUUUUGGCUCAAAAUGCUUGCUGGUCUUCUAGAAUCUCAUACUUAAUUGACUAGAGAAGUGGAUAGACCUUCACUACCAAAGGGUCACACUACCUCCUCCUUCGAAGUUCAUUUCUCUAGGAUAAUUAUACUUGAUUUUUUUUUCUAGGGAAAGAUUCAUUGGGAUAAAAACCCAAGCAGAAGAAAUAGAAUUUAAUAACUCAUAAUGUAGUGCCUAACGUGCUUCGAUUGUGAUGUGAUUAUGUAAAGCACAGAGUUAUAAUCAUGGACCAACUUGAAAUAUUACACUAGAAACUACUUCCACUUGGGUGAGAUAUUAUGCUCUUUAAGCAAUAAUUUCGUAUCAGUUCAAACAAUAACCUUGAUUGUGUUACUGAGUCUCAUGGCUUUUAGAUAAGUUAUUGAGGUAUAUGGCUUGUAGAUAAAUCACCGAUGAAGAAUAAUUUUCACCGAAAAAUACUAUAGGCUUCAAAUUCAGACUUUGAUGGAUUUGCUAUCUUCAAUUGAUCUUUAGGGGUUUUGGAAUCUUCAAAUGCAUGGCUUUAUAUGUGUGUAAGAAUAUUCAAAUUCUGUCUUCAUUCUGUCGGGUUUUCCUUGCAAUAUUAGUAACAAAUAAAUUUAAAUAAAAAAAACACACAAUAACUAGCCUCAUUUUGUUUAAUGUAGAAGAUCCAAAUUAAUAUGACAAUGAUAGAGAAUACGUAUAAUUAAAUAAACUAGUAAAAUAAAGAGUAGGGUAUAAGAUACUUUCUAUACCCGAGCAAUAAUCAUAUUGAUAACAUGUUAUAAUGUUGAUGAAUUUGGGUAGGAAGCAUUUAACAAUUUUAAUAGAUAAUAUAGAUGAUAUAGAGAUAAGGGGGCUGUGUCAUAUAAAUACAAAGCAUUUUUCUCCCACGCUUAAUUACGGUUGCGUUUAGAAUUGAGGUUAUUCAGUAGUAACUUAAAAGUGACAACACUAAAGUGUUUGGUAAACAUUAGCUGCUAUAGUUUGUAAGCUAUAUUGAUAUGAUUUUUCACUUGUAUAAUGAAAAGUUUAUUAUAUAUUUAAUAAUUUUGUCAAAAUAAUUAUUUAAAAUUUAUAUUUACUAUAUAUUAUUAACUUUUGUUUAAUAGUUAUAAAAUCUUUUUCACAGCAACUAUAACUUAAAAACUACAACACCUCAAUCCCAAACGGAUCGGUUGUCCAAUUUCAAUUCCUGUCUCACUAGAAUAAUAAGCUUAAUUAAGUGUUCAGCUCCUUAGCUUUAUAUCAUAUAGCCCCCUUAUCUCUGUAUCAUAUAUAUUAUGCAUUAAAAUUAUUAAUAUAUUCCCUACCCAGAUUUCUCUCAGAUUUGAUCGUGCGAUCUUCAAAGUCAAAAACUUUUAAAAAAAGAAAAUAGUCCGCGUACCUAAACUCAAUUUUUCUAUGGGUGAAUCUGACCCGUAGGAAAAAUAGUACAAACAUCUAUUAUGAUAACGAUACAUUUGAGGACGAUGGCCAAAUAUUUUAUUUUGGUGAAGAUAAGGUUAUAUAUAUUUUAGUGGGACUAUUGUCAUGAAUUUUUAAUCUAUUUAAGAUCUUGCAAAUUAAAAUAUCAAAUAAAAAACAAACAAACAAUAAAAUCAAUCAUAUAAUAUAAGAAUUUGCAUGAAAAAAUCAUAUAUUAAAAAAAACUAUAACUACAAAGAACAAUAAGAGAAAAAUCUAUUAUGUGAAAAAUUAUUAUAAUCAGUUUAAUAUUUUUUUCACAUACAAAAUACUAAUAAUAUCCUAUCUUUCAAUAGAUCUACCAUUUUUCUUAUACUAAAAACUGUUUAUUUACAGAGAAAUUGAGUGAUUUACAAGUGAACCCAACUUCUACAUUUAUAGUGAUUAUUUAUUGUACAAGUAAUAUUCAUUUUCUUAGAAGAAUUAUAUUCAGUCAUUGAAUAAGUUAAGUACUAAAACGAAAAGACUCAUUAAAUAAUAUUUUACUUCUCAUUUGAAGUAGCCACAUUAUUAAUAAAUGUUCAAAAAAUUAUACAAAAGAGAUUUUUCAAGUUAGAGCAUCACCAAAAGACUCUUCAAAUAAGAUUUUAUUAAUUAUUUGAAGAGCCACCUCAAUAUUUAAGGCUCCAAAAGACAUUCCAAUUAAGAUUCUUCAAAUAAGAAAUGAUUCUCUCUCUUCAAAUUUGGAGAGUUGAUUUCUCCCUCUUCAAUUUAUAUUUUAUUACUUUUCAUUGAAGAAAGAGAGAGAAGUGCUUUAAUUACUAUUGACUUUUCCUUUAAAAAAAUAAUUAUUUGAUUAAAAUAAUAUUAACUUAUUUCUAUUUGAAGAGUCUUUUGGAGAAUAUCAUAUUUUUUCACCAUUCUAUUUGCCACAUAGGUAAGCAAAUAAGUAUUUGAAGAGUAAAAUUUAUAGAGGCUUUUGGAGAUGCUCUUAGAUUGUCAUUCUCUCUUCUCAAUAUUAAAGAGUGACUUUUAUUUUCAAUUAAUAUUAUAUUAUUUUUUAUCUCAUUAUUAUUAAAAAAAUAAGUACUAUAAUUACUAUUAUUAUUAUUUUGGUUGAGAAAAUAAUUUAAUUAAAAUAAUAUUAAUUUAUUUUUAUUUAAAGAGUUUUUUAAAGGAUGUCAUAUUUUGUUAGGUAAAUAAAUAAGUAUUUAAAAAAUAAAAUUGGAAUAGUUUUGGCUAACGCUCAGUUGCUUAUAGAACAUGGCCGGCCGGCCACUACUCACACAGUGAAAAUAGUUAAAAGACAGAUUUGCCCUUAAGAGCGAUGGAACGUCGGGGAUUUGUAAAUUUCCCAAAAAACACAGGCUUGCUAACUUUUUAUUCACCCCACACGAUUCAACUACCCGCAGGCUGCGGCAACAUUAGCAUAUUUAAACAAGGUUUCUGGGGAAUUGAAUAAAAAAUUAACAGGAAAAAAGAAAAAAAAAUCGAAAAUCGAAAAUCGAAAAUGAAAAUCGCAGCUCCCAUUCUGCUUCUGUUGGCCUUUGCGUUCACGCUAUCUGAAGCCGAAACGACGAGCUUGCAGCUGAAGCCUCGAGCUUUCGAGUCCUUUAACGUUAGUUAUAUUCAGGUACCGUAGUUAUUAUUUUAUCUCUCUCUCUUUUUUUAAUAAAUUUAUUAUUUUUUGAGUAGUUGUUGAUAAUCGUUUAAUUUUUUAACCAAAAAAUAGAACCUAGGGAGCUGUUCUUACACGGUGGUCAUAACUACCAGCUGUUCCUCAAGCAAGUACACUCGCGAUCAGAUCAGUAUUGCUUUUGGAGAUGCUUACGGCAAUCAGGUUUUCAAUUUUAUUUUUUUAAAUUUAAAAGUAUCUUUUAAUUUCUUCAGUUUUUAAAUCAGUGUUUUUGUCCUUUUUUUUUUUAAUGGUGAUUCUGGAUUUCAUUUUUAGGAAGGAAAUUGAUAAUUAGAUUUUUGUUUGCUUAAAUGGAAAGUGAUGACCAGUGAUGUAGAAAUUUUUAUGUAUUUAACUGUAGGCUUUUUAAUUUCAUUUUAUUUUUGAGAGCAGAGCAGAGAAAGUAUAUUAGGGUAAAGUUCAGUUGGCUGGAGUUAAUAAAUGCAUGGAUGUAAGAUCAGUUUGGGUUUGAAUUGCAGUGGUUUUAGUCAACAAUUGCUGUGAAAUUGAAUCACUUGUCGUUAAGUUAUAAAGUUGGCGAUUAGCAGUUGAGUAAACUUCAGUUGUGCCUUUUAAAUUAAGUUCAAGCACAACAACCAGAAAUGGGCUCGUAGUCUUAGUCUUUGCAUUGGGUUCUUUUCAUUUGAGAUCCUGUUCCUGGGCGAAAUGCUUUUGUGCUCUUGAAGGAGAUAUUUGUUUAUUUCAGCUUAACACUAUAAUACAAGUAGACCACAAUGCCUAAUUGAAAAUGUUUUGUUCGGACCCAGAAUAGUCUCAAACUUGUAAACCAUCGUUGCGGUGGGGGGCACCUCCUUAGCUCCUUGCCUUCUUCUCAUGAUUGAUGGUUUGAGUGUCCCAGUUUGUUGUGCUAGUGUUUUCUUUGAAUUUCCUGAGUUCACUUUGAAGUAUGCUUGGCCAGAGCACAUAUCAAACUUCUUAUGAAAGUUGAACUAAUUUAAGGGAUUUUGAGUGGAAUUCUCGUAACCUAUUAGUAGAUGUGUUGUUGCUCCAUAUUAAAUACAACAGAAAGCAAUUCUUUAUGUAAUGCAUUCAUUUUGUUUCUAAAGGUCAGGUUUAUCUAGAAAUAUAAAACUACACUAUUCUUAUAGUCAAAUGUGGAUUACUAAUAUAUUUGAAACAUUUGUAAUCAGAUUUAUGCACCAAGACUUGAUGAUCCGUCUACCGAUGCAUUUGAAAGUUGCUCCUCUGAUACAUUUGAGAUAAGAGGACCAUGUGCGUAUCAAAUCUGUUAUGUGUAUUUGUAUCGAACUGGACCGGAUGGUUGGAAACCAGAGAGUGUGAAGAUUUAUGGUGCUAAUUCGAGAGCUGUCUCAUUUUACUACAACACCUUUAUUCCCAGUGAUAUCUGGUAUGGAUUCAAUCUGUGCCGAAGUGCUUCUUCUGCACAUCAACAACAUGUACCCAGAUGGUCUGUGUAUGUGAUUCUGGGACUCCUCUUAUGUGCUCUGUUGUAAGCUCCCAGAUGUUUAGCGUUUGUGAUUAUAGGACUUGUCCAAAGUGCUCCACUGUGAUCUCUCAAUCAUCAUUUGCUGUUGUUUGUGUAUCAUACAAUUACAUAUAAUCUGCAUUUUGUUAGUUAUAGUCAGAUGUAAUCCAGGUCUAUUAUGAAUUAUCACUUGGAUUAUUUUGUGAGAGAACAGAGCACUCAUUAAAUACUACUCUAGAAGGUGUUACCAGAUGCUUUUGUGAGAACCGUUUCUCAGAGCACUCUAUAAAAAUUUGGGAUCAUUGAACAGUAUAUUUUACUGACUUGACUGUUGCUCUGCAGUAAAUUAAAAGCUCGUAAAUCGCUGACCCUUCUUAUUCCUUAAAGUCUCGUGUGAUAGUUGAUUUUAAUUCUUGAUGUAUCAUCUCUAAUCAGUUGGGCGAGCUUGCAAAUUUGGGAAGGUUCUCCUUUGUUGCCCAUUGGCGAUCCGGGUUCCGGGUUUAUCAAGUGAUGCCCAAGACCGACCUGGCUUCAUACCCUGGCCGGGUAAUAUCCGGCCCGCAAUGCCCGGGUACGGUCCGGGUCCGGACCGGGCGGGUAUUUUUGCCACCUCUAGGCGCAAGCCACUGGACACUUGACUUUGCUGUGAAUGUUGACAAAUCGAGCGGGCAGGGAAUUAGUCAAUUGAGACAAGAAAUAAAACUAAACUUAUUUGGUUCGGAGAAUAUGUUCACUAUCAUGAGAGCAUCUCUAAAAGAUUUUUUAAAUAAAAUUUUAUUAAAUACUUCAAAAGACGCGUUAAUUUACAUUUUUCAGAUACGAUUUGUUUAUCACUUUUCAAUAUUACUUAGUGAUUUUCUCCCUCUUUUAUUAAUAUUUUAUUAUUAUUUAUUGAAAAGAUAAGAGUGCAAUAAUUAUUAUUUAUGUUUCCUUUUAAAAAUAUAAUAGCAAUUCAAUUUAAUAGUGGAAAGAUUUGAUUAAAAUAAUGUUAAUUUAUUCUUAUUUGAUGAGUCUUUUGGAGGAAAUUGUAUUUUUCCACCCACUUAUUUGCCACAUCAGUAAGCAAAUUGAUAUUUGAAGAGUAAAAUCUAAAAAGUCUUUUGGAGAUGCUCUGAACACCAUUAAUUUGGGGGUUUUUAAUUAAAUACCCUUUAAUAGUUGUAAAAUUAUUUAAAUAUCCCUUUUUUUUCACAAAAACCCUAACAAAUAUGUAUGAAAUCUAAAAUGUGAAUGCAUGAAAUCUACUCCUUUUCACUGUCUUCUUAGUUCUUAAAUUCAAAUCUCUUCUUACUGAAAUUCUCUCAAAAUCUCUUAUAACCUCUUACACAAAUACAACUAUGUAUUCACUUCUUUUUUUUUGAAUAAUUUUCAUUGACAUUUUCUACAUAGCAACAAAUAUAAAUUCUUAUAACAAAUUAAGUCUUUAAAGAACUAAAUUAUUCUAAUGAAUAAUGAACAAAGUCGUGUAAUACAUGGAGGUUGUGUAAUCGCGUAAUAUAUGAAGUCGUGUAAUACAUGAAGGUCUUGCAAUACAUGAAGUUGUGUAAUAUAUGAAGGCGUGAAAGUCCUGUAAUACAUGAUUCAAGAUCACGUAAUAAUACAAAAAGUCAUGCCAUAUACGACUGAGGAUUGUGUAUUACAUGAGUGUAUUACACGACAUUAAAUCAUGUGUUACAUGAUCUUACACAAUCAAAUCAUAUGUUACAUGACCUUACACAACCGAAUUAUCAUCGGUACAAUCCAUCAAUUUUUCACCAUUUACAUGGAACAAAAAACUAGAAAUUUGUAUGUUAUGAGAGACUUACAACUAAUUUAAUUUAUUUUUACAAUAUAAGAUCCUAAAUUUUUUAUUUUUCUUUAAAUAUAAAAAAAAUUUAAUUACAAGGAAUUACUUUCCUAAAGUAGUUAGGUUCCAACAAUUUUGCAGCAAAAAAUCAAUUUUCGUCGCCAAUUGUGCAGUAACAAACCAAGCUUCUCUUUCUCAGUUGCAGCAGCUUCCCCUUUUGAUGUCUAGUUCAACAUGUAUGAGUGUUUGUUUGAGUCAUGUUAUGUUUGAUUUGUGUAAGUGUUUUAAGAUGAUGAUAGUUUAGUAAUUUCAUGUGAGUUUUUAGAGGAUAUUCAUGAAAAUUUUGGUAAAUUCUAUUUUUAGGGUAUAGAAAUAAUUUUGAAAGUAUGAAGGUGUAUCUGCUGCAAUUACCUCCAUAAUUUUCUCUAUGUUAUCGUUACUUUUGUAUGUUUUGACGAUUUUUCUUUUUCUGUAAAUAUGAAAGUUACUUGAUUGUUGGUUUACUUAAUGGCUGUUAAAGACCAAUUCCAAAUCUUAUGUGGUAUUAUUGACAAUAGUUAAAAGUUGGGGCAUCGGAAUAAUUGUUUCACCACGAAUAACAAGUGCUUUUAUGCUGUGACAUCAGCUCCGAGUACAACCGCUUUUGGAAGCAAAAAGUGUUAAAAUCUAACGGUAGAUAUCAAAACAAAAUAGGGUUUCAUAUCUGACGGUUGAGAAUCUCUCCUCUGUUAAACCAUAAAAGCAGAAACCCUAAACUCUUUGCCUCCUCUUUCUCUCCUGCUCCCGCAACUCAUUGCCACAUCAAAUUUGUAGCAGGAGACGCCCUCUGCUGUUUCUUUGUAUCUCAUUUUAAUUUUUGUAACUUAACAUAACCAUUCAUGCCUUCGAUCGCUUUGUUUGACGGAAAAGAAGUGAAAGACGAGAAGAAGAUGAAUAAGAAAAUGGCUCUCAAGGACUUCGAAGAAACGGAGGCGGCGUUAACUGAGAAGAGUUCGGAUAAGAAGAAGAGCAAGAAGAAGGAGAGUAGUAAGAAGCGGAAGGAAUCGGAGAUUGAGGAGGAGGAAGAGAGAAGCGAAACGAGCUCGGAGUUAGGCGAGCCGGUGAAUUUGAAAUCGGAGAAGGAGAAAAAGAAGAAGAAGAAAGCGAAAGUUGAGCCUGAGGCUGGAGUGGAAGAGCAGGAGAGGGGUGAAAGCGAACAUCCGAAUGCGGUUUCGAGGUUUAGAAUAUCGGUGCCAUUAAGGGAAAAGCUCAAGUCCAAGGGGAUUGAGUCUUUGUUUCCUAUUCAAGCUAUGACUUUUGAUAUGGUUCUUGAUGGCUCUGAUUUAGUCGGACGUGCACGGACCGGUCAGGUAUAAUAACUAAAUUUUGUGUAAUUUGUUAAUUUUGAUUAGCUAGUGUAAGCAAGUAAUUGUUUAGUUGUGUUAUUAAUGGUAAAAUUAGAAGAAUUAUUGAGUUUUUAGGUAAAAAUUAAAUCAUAUUUCAAUUUUUUCUGUAGUAGCAAAUAUCUGUUCGAUCAAAUACUUUUUACCUGAAUAUGAUUGUAUAUUUAGCCGUGUUUUGAACCGUGCAGGGUAAAACUUUAGCCUUUGUGUUGCCAAUUUUAGAGUCUCUAACGAAUGGGCCAACAAAAGCGUCCAAGAAGACUGGAUAUGGCAGGGCUCCAAGUGUUUUGGUGCUUUUGCCUACUAGGGAAUUGGCCAAACAGGUAUGAAAUAGGAGUUAUAAAAAAGUUUAUUCAUUUUUUUUUUGGUUGGUUUGUCUGGUGACAUUUUGUUUUUGGGUUUGUUUUAGGUUCAUGAGGACUUUGAUGUCUAUGGCGGGGCAGUGGGACUGACCUCAUGUUGCUUAUAUGGAGGAGCUCCUUAUCAUGCUCAGGAGUUUAAAUUAAAGAAAGGGAUUGAUGUAGUCAUUGGAACCCCUGGACGUAUUAAGGUUAGCCAUUUACAAAAAAUUUCAGUGCUAGAAAAUAGAAUUUUGACAUGACCUGUUGUAUUAGUUAUGGAUUUCCUGAAUAAGUAUGUGAAAGUUGGGGUAUUUUGAUUGAUCAUGUGGUUGUCAACUGAAAUUUACAUAUGGUACAGGAUCACAUUGAGAGGGGCAAUAUUGACUUGAGUUCAUUGAAGUUUCGGGUCCUUGAUGAGGCUGAUGAGAUGCUUAGGAUGGGUUUCGUUGAAGAUGUUGAACUUAUUCUGGGUUUGUAUUCUUGAUAUAGAGUACGCGGAGUUCCCAUAUACUGGUUUUCAUAAGGCAAUUUUCAUGGUCUUUAAUUGAAAUAUGCAGGUAAAGUCGAGGAUGCUAAUAAAGUUCAAACACUUCUCUUCAGUGCCACCUUGCCAAGCUGGGUGAAGCAUGUGUGUUUCCCAAUUUUGAUUCUGGAUUAUUCCUUUCCUGAUUAUAUGUUAGAUCUUCUCAAAUUCUAAAAGUAGUUCUGUAAUUUACAUGUCAUGACUACCUCCUUUCUCUGUAUAACUGAACCCUUCGUCUUCCAUUUUCAGAUUUCCACCAAGUUUCUUAAAUCAGACAAGAAAACCAUAGAUCUUGUUGGCAAUGAGAAAAUGAAGGCUAGUACCAAUGUCCGGCAUAUUGUUCUUCCUUGUUCUAGUUCAGCGAGAUCUCAAGUCAUUCCUGAUAUCAUUCGUUGUUAUAGCAGGUCAGUUGUUUCUAGUUCUCAGUUACUGUUUAAUAAUAAGCAUGAUUGAUUGUUGCUCUUCACAGUUUAUUAUUUCAUUUUGCCUUAGCAAUUGUGUGAUUCUUCUGAUUCAGUGGAGGCCGAACUAUUAUUUUCACCGAGACAAAGGAAAGUGCUUCUCAGCUUGCUGACUUGCUGCCUGGUGCACGGGCUUUACAUGGGGACAUACAGCAGUCUCAACGUGAGGUAAGUUGUUCAGCAGGAUUCUUCUUUUUUUGACAUGUUAUGAUGAAAGCAAAGGGUCAAUCAGUUUUUGAGCUUAUAUACCGUCUCUGCUCUGGCAACAUAUAUUUUCAGCACAUUCAAAGAAAACAAUGCUUGAUGAGCCAUCCAAUGCUCAGUCUUUCAAAAUUUUGCAGUAAUCUCUCAUUUGAAAAACUGUAGUUUUUGACAAGUUGCUUUAAUCAUGACUCAUGAAUGGAAGCAUGGUGGCUGCUGAAUUGUUUAUUUUAGCUAGUUUGCUAUCAAGUUGAAAUGAUUGAAAGAAACUAUCAUUUUCUGUUUAUGAGAAUCUUGUACACUAAAAAUAUUUGCUAAAGAACAAAAUCACUUGAUGUUUUUGUUUUGAUUUUUAAUAAUCAAUCGUGACAACUUUAUUGAAUUUGUGAUCUUGCAGGUGACACUUGCUGGGUUCAGGUCAGGAAAGUUCAUGACAUUAGUUGCCACAAAUGUGGCGGCACGGGGUUUGGACAUUAAUGAUGUGCAGUUAAUUAUUCAGGUUUGUUUGCAUGUAUUUUUGGGAGGCUUUAUGUAAUGUCUUUUUCUGGUAUAUACUUAAACAGACCUUUGUUUUUAGUGUGAGCCUCCUCGUGAUGUAGAAGCCUAUAUACAUCGAUCUGGACGUACUGGAAGAGCAGGUAUGAAAAUGUGCAUUUAUUUCCUGUUUUAAAUGCACACUGUUUCACGGAAUGCUGAGGUGCUUUUUUUUUUCAAUUUCCCACCCCCAACCCCCAGGCAAUACUGGAGUUGCUGUAAUGCUUUAUGAUCCUAGAAAGUCAAGUGUAUCUAAGAUAGAAAGAGAAUCUGGUGUGAAAUUUGAGCACAUAUCUGCUCCACAGCCAGCUGAUAUUGCCAAGGCUGCAGGUGUGGAAGCUGCUGAAACAAUAACCCAAGUUUCUGAUAGGUAUACUUGCUAUGUC
RNAcentral lists this long non-coding RNA (13600 nucleotides) under Citrus sinensis (sweet orange). RNAcentral's name for it is "long non-coding RNA (CSIN_LNC003977)". Lineage: Eukaryota; Viridiplantae; Streptophyta; Magnoliopsida; Sapindales; Rutaceae. The record is from RNAcentral.